AGCGUGAGCCUACGGGGGGCAGCAGUGGGGAAUAUUGCACAAUGGGCGCAAGCCUGAUGCAGCGACGCCGCGUGCGGGAUGGAGGCCUUCGGGUUGUAAACCGCUUUUGUUCAAGGGCAAGGCAGGCUUUCGGGCCUGUUGAGUGGAUUGUUCGAAUAAGCACCGGCUAACUACGUGCC
Molecule: ribosomal RNA, 179 nt
Filed under: uncultured bacterium
Lineage: Bacteria
Description: partial 16S ribosomal RNA
Rfam family: Bacterial small subunit ribosomal RNA
Source: RNAcentral